Molecule: ribosomal RNA, 511 nt
Filed under: uncultured fungus
Lineage: Eukaryota; Fungi
Description: eukaryotic LSU rRNA
Rfam family: 5.8S ribosomal RNA (bases 155-308)
Source: RNAcentral
AAGUCGUAACAAGGUUUCCGUAGGUGAACCUGCGGAAGGAUCAUUAGUGAACGCCCUCACGGGCUUAUAACUAUUCCAAACCUCUGUGAACCGUGCCCUUCGGGGCUAUUUUACAAACAUGGUGUAAUGAACGUCAUAUAUCAUAACAAAACAAAACUUUCAACAACGGAUCUCUUGGCUCUCGCAUCGAUGAAGAACGCAGCGAAAUGCGAUAAGUAAUGUGAAUUGCAGAAUUCAGUGAAUCAUCGAAUCUUUGAACGCACCUUGCGCCCUCUGGUAUUCCGGAGGGCAUGCCUGUUUGAGUGUCAUGUAGACUCAAUCCCUCGGGUUUCCGAGGAGAUUGGACUUGGGUGUUGCCGCUCUGCCGGCUCGCCUUAAAAGACUUAGCGGGAUAGCACCGUAAUCGGCGUAAUAAGUUUCGUCGGUGAAGGUUGUGAUGACUGCUUACAAUCGCCCUCGGGCAAUUUUUGACUCUGACCUCAAAUCAGGUAGGACUACCCGCUGAACUUAA